This 75-nucleotide ribosomal RNA is filed under the name Candolleomyces typhae. RNAcentral's name for it is "5.8S ribosomal RNA". It matches the Rfam family "5.8S ribosomal RNA", at positions 81 to 154 of the family's 154-position model. From Rfam's summary of the family: 5.8S ribosomal RNA (5.8S rRNA) is a component of the large subunit of the eukaryotic ribosome. It is transcribed by RNA polymerase I as part of the 45S precursor that also contains 18S and 28S rRNA. Functionally, it is thought that 5.8S rRNA may be involved in ribosome translocation. The record is from RNAcentral. Lineage: Eukaryota; Fungi; Basidiomycota; Agaricomycetes; Agaricales; Psathyrellaceae.
UCAGUGAAUCAUCGAAUCUUUGAACGCACCUUGCGCUCCUUGGUAUUCCGAGGAGCAUGCCUGUUUGAGUAUCAU